Molecule: transfer RNA, 89 nt
Filed under: Chryseobacterium sp.
Lineage: Bacteria; Pseudomonadati; Bacteroidota; Flavobacteriia; Flavobacteriales; Weeksellaceae
Description: tRNA-Ser
Rfam family: tRNA
About the family: Transfer RNA (tRNA) molecules are approximately 80 nucleotides in length.
Source: RNAcentral
GGAGAGGUGGCUGAGUCUGGUUGAAGGCGCCCGCCUCGAAAGCGGAUGACUGGGAAACUGGUCCGCGGGUUCAAAUCCCGCUCUCUCCU